RNAcentral lists this ribosomal RNA (459 nucleotides) under uncultured bacterium. Its description in RNAcentral is "partial 16S ribosomal RNA". It matches the Rfam family "Bacterial small subunit ribosomal RNA", at positions 338 to 795 of the family's 1533-position model. The record is from RNAcentral.
CCUACGGGUGGCAGCAGUGAGGAAUAUUGGUCAAUGGGCGGGAGCCUGAACCAGCCAAGUCGCGUGAAGGAAGAAGGUACUUAGUAUUGUAAACUUCUUUUGUCGGGGAACAAAGGCGGAGACGCGUCUCCGGCUGAGUGUACCCGAAGAAAAAGCAUCGGCUAACUCCGUGCCAGCAGCCGCGGUAAUACGGAGGAUGCGAGCGUUAUCCGGAUUUAUUGGGUUUAAAGGGUGCGCAGGCGGGGGAUCAAGUCAGCGGUAAAAUGUCGGGGCUCAACCCCGGCCGGCCGUUGAAACUGGUGUGCUAGAGUUGGAGAGAAGUAUGCGGAAUUCGUGGUGUAGCGGUGAAAGGCAUAGAUAUCACGAAGAACUCCGAUUGCGAAGGCAGCAUACCGGAUCCAGACUGACGCUGAGGCACGAAAGCGUGGGGAUCGAACAGGAUUAGAUACCCGAGUAGUC